Molecule: ribosomal RNA, 361 nt
Filed under: uncultured bacterium
Lineage: Bacteria
Description: partial 16S ribosomal RNA
Rfam family: Bacterial small subunit ribosomal RNA
Source: RNAcentral
CCUACGGGAGGCAGCAGUGAGGAAUAUUGGUCAAUGGCCGGAAGGCUGAACCAGCCAUGCCGCGUGAAGGUCAGUGCCCUAUGGGCUUUAAACUUCUUUUGUGCGGGAGCAAUAAUGGUCACGUGUUGCCAGACGCGAUUACCGUUCGAAUAAGCAUCGGCAAACUCCGUGCCAGCAGCCGCGGUAAUACGGGGGAUGCAAGCGAUAUCCGGAUUUAUUGGGUUUAAAGGGGGCGUAGGCUGUGAGGUAAUUCAGCGUUGAAAUGCCCCCGCUCAACGUGGUGAAGUGCCAUUGAUACUGCCUUGCUGGAAUGAGGAUGCCGUGGGAGGAAAGUGUGGUGUAGCGGUGGAAUGCAUAGAUA